UAGGGAAUCUUCGGCAAUGGGGGGAACCCUGACCGAGCAACGCCGCGUGAGUGAAGAAGGUUUUCGGAUCGUAAAGCUCUGUUGUUAAGGAAGAACGAGUGUGAGAAUGGAAAGUUCAUACUGUGACGGUACUUAACCAGAAAGGGACGGCUAACUACGUGCCAGCAGCCGCGGUAAUACGUAGGUCCCGAGCGUUGUCCGGAUUUAUUGGGCGUAAAGCGAGCGCAGGCGGUUAGAUAAGUCUGAAGUUAAAGGCAGUGGCUCAACCAUUGUAGGCUUUGGAAACUGGUUAACUUGAGUGCAGAAGGGGGGAGUGGAAUUCCAUGUGUAGCGGUGAAAUGCGUAGAUAUAUGGAGGAACCCCGGUGGCGAACGCGGCUCUCUGGUCUGUAUCUGACGCUGAGGCUCGAAAGCGUGGGGAGCGAACAGG
This 429-nucleotide ribosomal RNA is filed under the name Bacteroidota bacterium. RNAcentral describes it as "Bacteroidetes bacterium partial 16S ribosomal RNA". It matches the Rfam family "Bacterial small subunit ribosomal RNA", at positions 355 to 776 of the family's 1533-position model. Lineage: Bacteria; Pseudomonadati; Bacteroidota. The record is from RNAcentral.